UACGGAGGAUCCGAGCGUUAUCCGGAUUUAUUGGGUUUAAAGGGUGCGCAGGCGGGGGAUUAAGUCGGCGGUGAAAUUUUGCAGCUCAACUGUAAAAGUGCCUUCGAAACUGGUUUCCUUGAGUGUAGAUGAAGUAGGCGGAAUUUGUGGUGUAGCGGUGAAAUGCGUAGAUAUCAGGAGGAACUCCGGUGGCGAAGGCGACUUCCUGGCACAAGACUGACGCUCAUGUGCAAAAGCUAGUGUAGCGAACGGGAUUAGAUACCCGGGUAGUCCCUGA
Molecule: ribosomal RNA, 277 nt
Filed under: uncultured prokaryote
Description: partial 16S ribosomal RNA
Rfam family: Bacterial small subunit ribosomal RNA
Source: RNAcentral